GGGGAAUUUUGCACAAUGGGCGGAAGCCUGAUGCAGCGACGCCGCGUGAGGGAUGGAGGCCUUCGGGUUGUGAACCUCUUUCGCUCGUGACCAAGCCAUGCGUGUGCGUGUGGUGAGGGUAGUGGGUAAAGAAGCUCCGGCUAACUACGUGCCAGCAGCCGCGGUAAUACGUAGGGAGCGAGCGUUGUCCGGAUUUAUUGGGCGUAAAGGGCUUGUAGGCGGUUUGUUGCGUCUGCCGUGAAAUUCCCUGGCUUAACUGGGGGCGUGCGGUGGGUACGGGCAGGCUUGAGUGCGGUAGGGGAGACUGGAAUUCCUGGUGUAGCGGUGGAAUGCGCAGAUAUCAGGAGGAACACCGGUGGCGAAGGCGGGUCUCUGGGCCGUUACUGACGCUGAGGAGCGAAAGCGUGGGGAGCGAACA
Molecule: ribosomal RNA, 418 nt
Filed under: uncultured Actinomyces sp.
Lineage: Bacteria; Bacillati; Actinomycetota; Actinomycetes; Actinomycetales; Actinomycetaceae
Description: bacterial SSU rRNA
Rfam family: Bacterial small subunit ribosomal RNA
Source: RNAcentral